GGCAGCAGGCGCGCAAAUUACCCACUCCCAGCACGGGGAGGUAGUGACGAAAAAUAACGAUACGGGACUCAUCCGAGGCCCCGUAAUCGGAAUGAGUACACUUUAAAACUUUUCCCGAGGAUCAAUUGGAGGGUAAGUCUGGUGCCAGCAGCCGCGGUAAUUCCAGCUCCAAUAGCGUAUAUUAAAGUUGUUGCGGUUAAAAAGCUCGUAGUCGAAUCUGUGUCCCGCGCCGCUGGUUCAUCGCUCGCGGUGUUUAACUGGCGUGUUUCGCGGGACGUCCUGUCGGUGGGCGCUCGUUAGGCUUCGGUCUGGCGUGGUCCAACUUGUAGCCGUCUUGUGCGGUUGCAAAUCUCAUCGCGGUGCUCUUUAUUGAGUGUCGAGGUGGGCCGGCACGUUUACUUUGAACAAAUUAGAGUGCUUAAAGCAGGCCAAUUUUGCCUGAAUAUUGUGUGCAUGGAAUAAUGGAAUAGGACCUCGGUUCUAUUUUGUUGGUUUUCGGAACCCCGAGGUAAUGAUUAAUAGGAACGGAUGGGGGCAUUCGUAUUGCGACGUUAGAGGUGAAAUUCUUGGAUCGUCGCAAGACGGACAGAAGCGAAAGCAUUUGCCAAAAACGUUUUCAUUGAUCAAGAACGAAAGUUAGAGGUUCGAAGGCGAUCAGAUACCGCCCUAGUUCUAACCAUAAACGAUGCCAGCUAGCGAUCCGCCGACGUUACUUUUUUUGACUCGGCGGGCAGCUUCCGGGAAACCAAAGCUUUUGGGUUCCGGGGGAAGUAUGGUUGCAAAGCUGAAACUUAAAGGAAUUGACGGAAGGGCACCACCAGGAGUGGAGCCUGCGGCUUAAUUUGACUCAACACGGGACACCUCACCAGGCCCGGACACCGGAAGGAUUGACAGAUUGAUAGCUCUUUCUUGAUUCGGUGGGUGGUGGUGCAUGGCCGUU
RNAcentral lists this ribosomal RNA (940 nucleotides) under Meronera venustula. Its description in RNAcentral is "SSU rRNA". It matches the Rfam family "Eukaryotic small subunit ribosomal RNA", at positions 424 to 1292 of the family's 1831-position model. Lineage: Eukaryota; Metazoa; Arthropoda; Insecta; Coleoptera; Staphylinidae. The record is from RNAcentral.